UACGAGUGCGUCGAGCGUUAUCCGGAAUCAUUGGGCGUAAAGGGUGCGUAGGCGGCGCGGUAAGUCGGGUGUGAAAUCUCGGAGCUUAACUCCGAAACUGCAUUCGAUACUACCGUGCUUGAGGACUGGAGAGGAGACUGGAAUUUACGGUGUAGCGGUGAAAUGCGUAGAUAUCGUAAGGAAGACCAGUGGCGAAGGCGGGUCUCUGGACAGUUCCUGACGCUGAGGCACGAAGGUCAGGGGAGCAAACGGG
This 253-nucleotide ribosomal RNA is filed under the name uncultured bacterium. RNAcentral's name for it is "partial 16S ribosomal RNA". It matches the Rfam family "Bacterial small subunit ribosomal RNA", at positions 524 to 776 of the family's 1533-position model. The record is from RNAcentral.